Molecule: ribosomal RNA, 349 nt
Filed under: Saccharomycopsis fibuligera
Lineage: Eukaryota; Fungi; Ascomycota; Saccharomycetes; Ascoideales; Saccharomycopsidaceae
Description: SSU rRNA
Rfam family: Eukaryotic small subunit ribosomal RNA
Source: RNAcentral
GUAGUCAUAUGCUUGUCUCAAAGAUUAAGCCAUGCAUGUCUAAGUAUAAGCAAUUAUACAGUGAAACUGCGAAUGGCUCAUUAAAUCAGUUAUCGUUUAUUUGAUAGUACCUUUACUACUUGGAUAACCGUGGUAAUUCUAGAGCUAAUACAUGCUAAAAAUCCCGACUGUUUGGAAGGGAUGUAUUUAUUAGAUAAAAAACCAAUGCACUUCGGUGCUCUUUGGUGAUUCAUAAUAACUUCUCGAAUCGCAAGGCUUCAUGCUGGCGAUGGUUCAUUCAAGUUUCUGCCCUAUCAACUUUCGAUGGUAGGAUAGUGGCCUACCAUGGUUUCAACGGGUAACGGGGAAU